GCUCCCUGCUCGCCGCGUCUCCCCGCUCGCCUCCUGCCUCGGGUGGCGGCAGCUUUGGGCGUCCCGCACCUCCUCCCCAUCCUUUCCCCCCCUCCAAGGCCCCAUCCUUCGGCUCUGCCACCCUCUGCAUGUCCCCGUGGGCCGUGGAGAGGUGGGUGACCCCAGCACCCCCAGCCACGAGCAGAGCUUCACCACGGGGGUCCCGCGCCCGCCUUGCGAAGCACAAACUAUGGGAUGCACAGCGCUUCCCUCUGCCGUAUGGAACCGGAGGCUCUGCAGACGCGGUGAGGUUUGGGGCUGCUGCAAGAGCCGUGCACGGAGCGGAGGGCGCCGCUGGCAGAGGGAGGCUGCAGCGACGGAGCUGCUCCCCGCGAGCCCCGGUGAAUCAACAGCUCUGCGUGCGGAGCGGAGGCGAAAAGCACCCGGCAGGAUCGACGCUUCCCGUGCCGGUGCCGGGAUGCUCUUAGCGGUUUGUCACCGCGCCCACGGGGCUGAGAGGCAGCCUGCCCCCGUCCGUAGGGUGGAGGUUAACGCUGCCGUCCGCAGGGGGCACCCAGGCACCCGCAGCCUCAAUGUGAUCACACCCGGAGGUCCCGGGGAUGCGCUGAUGCUGCUCUGAGCACUGCAUUUCCCACUGCCCUGCUGGGAGCGGUGAUCCUGCUCGAGAGCUUGCAGGGACUGCGACCAGGGCCACGGUGGUGCUCACCAAAGCCCUUCACGUCCUGCUGCAUGCAUGACCAGCUCAAACCCUUCUCUGCCUGCAGCUCGGGGUGUCUGCAUGCUGCGGGCAUCGCGUGGCCCGCAUAGCUGGGAGCCUCCCCUCUGCAUAACGCUCGUCAUGCAGGCUCGUUGGAGGACGGUUGGAGCGCAUUGAAGCGCAGCCGGCGGCACCCACGCGUGGCCGGGACCGCCAGGGGGAGACCUCGGCCGCGGCACGGGGAGGUUCUCCGGUUGGGAGCACGGCGGGCAGCCCCCGUGGUCCUGCGUGGGGUGAGCGGGGAGGGCUGUGCGGGCUCUGAGCGCCUGUCCGGGCUGAGAGGGUCCGCAGCGCUCCGGGACUGCGCUCCUGGGCUCUGCUUUGUGGACUCACAUCGGCAUCCCUGCCGCGGUGGGU
This is a long non-coding RNA of Gallus gallus (chicken), 1114 nucleotides long. RefSeq lists it as uncharacterized. The record is from RefSeq and is a predicted model, not a curated record. NCBI's taxonomy places the organism in Eukaryota, Metazoa, Chordata, Aves, Galliformes, Phasianidae. The transcript has 2 exons.